UUCUUCACCUGAUGAAUGGACACAGCGUUGACUACUGGUUCAAUCAUGCCACUGUCGGCAGAAAUCACAAGAAUCUUAUAUGGCUUGAUCCAAAGAGGCACUCGUUCCUGCUCCCAAAUGGACUGUGAAGAGACACAAAGGAUUACAUGUGUAUACAAUCACGAAUAACAGAACCAGGAAGUUUGAAAAGGAAGUCCAAGCUGGGCAGUGGUGGUACACGUCUUUAAUCCCAGCACUCGGGAGGCAGAGCUGCUUCAACACCUGGAAAGCCAGCAGCUCCUGCCGAAGGUCAUCUCCACACUUGACAAUGACUGACAGGAGUCGCCAAUUGGGAAGAUGGCCAUAGGGGGAGCCCUCUCUGAUCCUCCUGUGAAGAAAGAAGUCAUGUGGUGAUGCCCUAGGGCUAAGGACUCCAGACAGCAAUGGAAGUCUGAUGAAGUGAGCACCUCAAAAUGCCUUGGAGCUCUGAGGGGAGAGCCAAGACCACCCUCCUCCCCCUCUACACUCCUCACCGCACUUUCUCCUGCCAGGGCUCUUUGAGGGCGACUGCAGAAGGGUCUUCAGGGUCUCGUUUGAAGGCUGUGGGCGUGUGAGCCAGCUGUUCUGAAAGGCGCCGUCUAGCAGGAAGAAAUGUUGCAAGAGUUAUCUCAGAGCAUCAAUGGCUGUGCCCCCUCUUGCCACUGCACCUAGAUUCUGGCCCUAGGAAAGCCAGAGGAAAAAGCAUCAUCAAUGGCACUAUUUAGCUAACCUGGCAGUUUGUGACCAUGCAAAGAACCUGGCUUUCCUCACUCCUCUAUCCCAAUAUUGAUUUGGAAUGGGUAUGAUUCUGGAAUCUGCACAUCCAACAAGGUCUCCUCUCUCCCCUCAAAGUGAAGGAUACAAUUCUGAGAUCUCACUUUGAUUCUUGGUUUUGGGUUCGCUCAUGGUGCUGGGAACUGAACCCAGGGCCUUGCACAUGCUAGUCAAGUGCACCUUUGAGAAAUGAUGCUCAAAUGCCCUCUGAGGCAUUUCUUCUUGUUGGAACUCCCUUAAAAUGGCAUUUCUUUCUGUAGUAGCUCGAGCUAUUGCACCUUCACUGUCUCAUGUAUGGUGACCUCAGGACAGAAUAUGAGAUAAAGGAAAAAGACACAAGACUGACAGAUGGUGACUAGGCACAGGAAAGGGAUAAAGAGGCAGGCAAAGUCUGGAAAAGAGAUGGAAAUUAGGGAUGAUGUGAUCUGGCCAUACCGGAUGUCCCCUGCUGCAAUGAACACAGGCUCCUUGCUCUCCUGGCUGGUGAUGCUGUCCACCGAGAACUGGGAGAUGUUGUCACAGCUGUUGGUGUGCACUUCAGGGAGCUGAGGAGAGCAGGUCAGAGGUGCUAAACACAGAUCUCCCUCUUUCCCCCUGCUCACUUGCCACUACCUGUGGCAUGCUGGCCUACCACUUCCAGACUGCUCCAAAGCCACCAUGGCUACACACCAGUGUGGCCUUCUUGAGUUAUGGAUCCCACAGUGGUGUUCUUAAAGUAUGAACUACUCCAUCAGAAUUCAUGGAGAUGCGUAGGAAAUGCAGAUUCUCAGAUCUCACCAUCAGUCUAAGAUGGAACUGCUGGACAUGAAAACUAGAAGCUAAAUUUUAGAAAACUUUCCAGAAUACCCCCACACCUUAAAGUUUGUACAUCACUGACCUCAUAUUGAAAGCCCCCUAUGAUUAGGGAUGUAUUAUUCUCCCCUAGAUCCUUCCAGACUAGAUUUCUUUGACUAUAUCUUUAAUUUUUUUGUUUUGUUUUUUCAAGGCAGGGUUUCUCUGGUUGUCCUGGAACUUGCUCUGUAGACAAGGCUGGCCUGUAACUCUGAUGUACAUCAGGCUGGCUUGGAACUUACAGAUUUCCUGCCUCUGCCUCCCAAGUGCUGGGAUUAAAGUUGUGUACUAUUAACACCUGGCUUUUUCUUUCUUUUCUUUUCUGUUUGUUUGUUUGAGACGGGGACUCAUGUAUCUCAGCCUGACCUCAAGUGUACUCGGUAGCUGAGAAUGGCCUUAACUUCCUGCUCUCCCUGCUUCCAUUUGAGUGCGGGCGCCAUAGGUGAGCUGCCACAUCCAGCUUCACCUCUUCCGUUUAACCCUCCUCAUUUGUCACUAACAGACUCUGGUCUCCUGACCUUCCUUGUAGCAAAGCCGCCUCAGCUCCAUCUAACGCACACCGACUUGUGCAUCUCCCAUUUUCUUCUUAAAUGGCGAUUUCUAGCCUCAACUUGACUGUAAAUAAGAUAGAGAUCUAUCUUUUUCACCAAAUGCUGCUACAUAAGAUCCUGCUUGAGCUUUUUCCCCAGAGCUAGCAGGACUGAAUGAGUGCAUGGCCUGUCUGUCAGUCAGGGCGUGCCAACCUCUCCAGCCUCAUCUGUCACUGCUUCUCACCUCACACGUGCAUUCAAUGCACAAAGAUUUCUUUCACUUCCUGUCACAGGCCAUGUUCCGUUUCUCUUCCAGUCUUUGUACACAGUCCUCUGAAUGUUCUUUGUUCUGCUAAUUCCAGCCAUGCUUCAGGCCUUGGCUGAAAGAUUACUUCCUCCAGGAAAUCUUUUGACUCCCACCCCAAGUCUGGAGUAAAUACCAACUUUGGGUGCUUCCAUAAUGUCCCAUGUCCCCACCACAAUGUAGGUCACACCAUACUACAGCUGCCAGCUGUUUGGUCUGAUUCUCUGUUAGGUCGUAAAUUCCUUGCAGGUAUAAGCCAAGUGUUGUUCACCAGCAUACAGUACUCAGGUGUGACACACAGAAAGCCCUCCAUGAACAUUUUUUUUUUAGUUUUUCAAGAAAGGUACAGACUGGCCUCAAAUUCUCUAUAUAGCUGAGGCUGACCUUGAACCCCAAAUCCUGCUUCAACCAUUCAUGUGCUGGGAUUAGAGCUGUGAGUCACUACACACAGACAUUAAUAUUUCUUUUUAUAUUUAUUUUAUAUAUAUGAGUGUUUGCCUGUAUGUGCACCACGUACAUACAAUAUCGGAAGAGGCCAUAAAAGGGCAGCAAGUUUCUCUAAAAUUGGAGUUACAGACAGGUGCUGGGGAACUGACCCAAUUCUCUACAGGGGGGGGCCAGUGCUCAUACUGUGAGCCAUGUAUCCAGCCCCUUUAUGUAUAUAAUUUACUUUUGGUUUUUCAGACAGGGUUUCUCUGUAUUGUUUUGGAGGCUGUCCUGGAACUCACUCUGUAGGUCAGGUUGGCCUAGAACUCACAGAGAUCCACCUGCCUCUGCCUCCUGAGUGCUGGGAUUAAAGGUUUGAGUCACCACCACUCCUUUAUUUAUUUAUUUGACUGAAUGCAUGCAUGGCUUAUCAGUCUCUGCUGUCCUAAAUGAACUUUACAUAGCAGAUGUUCCAUAUAUUUUUUAUUACAUUUCCCUCCUCCUCCUCUAGUCUAGAUAUUCCUCUUUACAUUCCAUCUGAAUCUCUGUUGCAGGAGAGCAAGCUUGAGCCUAUUCCAACCAGCUGUUCAGAGCUGCUCCUUCUCAUAACCCUCACUACCUACAAUACUCAUCUGGGUGCUUGUCACCCUCUGCUACUUAUUCCAAGUAUUAAAGCUCCCAGAGAACAGGUGCUGCACCCCAGCACGGUGUCCUUGGUGUCCCUCACCUCCACCUGUAGCUCGCCUAUAUCAUCCACCGACCAGGCUUCAUCAUCAUUGUCAUAAUUGGGCACUGUGCUGAAGCUGCCAGCCCGCUGCUCGUGAGUCAUGCCACAUUCAGGAAGGUUCUCCACGGACCGUGUGCUCCGAAUUCGGUUCUCAGGAAUCCGGGCAGGAACGCUAGUUGUGUCGAAGUUUUCACAUUCAAGAACUUCCACGUAGAUCAGGUAGGGAGCCUGGGGGGGAGUGGGGGAAGAGACAGCUACGACCGCCUCCUAAGUUCCACUGACACAGUUCUUCUGUUCCAUCCCUCAACAGCAGCCCUUAUUACCGUGAGUGACAUGCACAAGUAGGAACAUGUGCUAUCACCCGCAUAAAACAUUUGCGGAGGGGCAGAGGCUUCCAAGCUGUCAUCAGGGCUUCAAACGUAUACAUGCAACUGGGAAAAACUAUUCCAACUAUCAACGGCAGUUGAGGGUCUGUGGGCUUAUGCUAAAGUCAGGGCCCAGGGACAUAGACACAAACUGGAUAAAGCAAGACAUGUCCCACGGAGAAUCCUAAUUUCCAAUUUCCUGAGAGGAGAAUCUGAACCAUGAGGACAAUCAUUCCUAUAAACAUACAAACAGUUUCUUUUCUCUAGUGUGUACUGGGCAUAUUUCUUCCCUUUCUUCCCACUUUGAUCAAAAAAGUCUUAAUAAAAGUGUCCCUUUACUCACUCA
Long non-coding RNA from Mesocricetus auratus (golden hamster), 4321 nucleotides. RefSeq lists it as uncharacterized. The transcript has 3 exons. Lineage: Eukaryota; Metazoa; Chordata; Mammalia; Rodentia; Cricetidae. The record is from RefSeq and is a predicted model, not a curated record.